This 478-nucleotide ribosomal RNA is filed under the name uncultured bacterium. RNAcentral's name for it is "partial 16S ribosomal RNA". It matches the Rfam family "Bacterial small subunit ribosomal RNA", at positions 28 to 523 of the family's 1533-position model. The record is from RNAcentral.
GACGAACGCUGGCGGCGUGCUUAACACAUGCAAGUCGAACGGUAAGGCCCUUCGGGGUACACGAGUGGCGAACGGGUGAGUAACACGUGGGUGAUCCGCCCUGCACUUCGGGAUAAGCCUGGGAAACUGGGUCUAAUACCGGAUAGGACUCCUGGCUUCAUGGUUGGGGGUGGAAAGCUUUUGCGGUGUGGGAUGGGCCCGCGGCCUAUCAGGUUGUUGGUGGGGUAAUGGCCUACCAAGGCGACGACGGGUAGCCGGCCUGAGAGGGUGACCGGUCACACUGGGACUGAGAUACGGCCCAGACUCCUACGGGAGGCAGCAGUGGGGAAUAUUGCACAAUGGGCGCAAGCAUGAUGCAGCGACGCCGCGUGAGGGAUGACGGCCUUCGGGUUGUAAACCUCUUUCAGCUAUGACGAAGCGCAAGUGACGGUAGUAGCAGAAGAAGGACCGGCCAACUACGUGCCAGCCGCCGCCGUAA